This 347-nucleotide ribosomal RNA is filed under the name uncultured fungus. Its description in RNAcentral is "SSU rRNA". It matches the Rfam family "Eukaryotic small subunit ribosomal RNA", at positions 21 to 370 of the family's 1831-position model. The record is from RNAcentral. Lineage: Eukaryota; Fungi.
UUGUAGUCAUAUGCUUGUCUCAAAGAUUAAGCCAUGCAUGUCUAAGUAUAAGCAAUUAUACGGCGAAACUGCGAAUGGCUCAUUAUAUAAGUUAUCGUUUAUUUGAUAGUGCCCUACUACUUGGAUAACCGUGGUAAUUCUAGAGCUAAUACAUGCUAAAAAUCCCGACUUCGGAAGGGAUGUAUUUAUUAGAUUAAAAACCAAUGCCCUCUGGGCUCUUUGGUGAUUCAUGAUAACUUCUCGAAUCGCACGGCCUUGCGCCGGCGAUGGCUCAUUCAAAUUUCUUCCCUAUCAACUUUCGAUGUUUGGGUAGUGGCCAAACAUGGUUGCAACGGGUAACGGGGAAU